RNAcentral lists this ribosomal RNA (469 nucleotides) under uncultured bacterium. RNAcentral's name for it is "partial 16S ribosomal RNA". It matches the Rfam family "Bacterial small subunit ribosomal RNA", at positions 27 to 507 of the family's 1533-position model. The record is from RNAcentral.
GGACGAACGCUGGCGGCGUGCUUAACACAUGCAAUUCGAACGGAAAGGCCCUGCUUUUGUGGUGUGCUCGAGUGGCGAACGGGUUAGUAACACGUGAGUAACCUGCCCUUGACUUUGUGAUAACUUCAGGAAACUGGGGCUAAUACCGGAUAGUAGCUCCUGCUGCAUGGUGGGGGUUGGAAAGUUUCGGCGGUUGGGGAUGGACUCGCGGCUUAUCAGCUUGUUGGUGGGGUAGUGGCUUACCAAGGCUUUGACGGGUAGCCGGCCUGAGAGGGUGACCGGCCACAUUGGGACUGAGAUACGGCCCAGACUCCUACGGGAGGCAGCAGUGGGGAAUAUUGCACAAUGGGCGGAAGCCUGAUGCAGCAACGCCGCGUGCGGGAUGACGGCCUUCGGGUUGUAAACCGCUUUCGCCUGUGACGAAGCGUGAGUGACGGUAAUGGGUAAAGAAGCACCGGCUAACUACGUG